UAAAAACUUAGUUGAGUUGAGUAUCAAAGUAUUAACAGGGACAAUGCCUCUUUGCUUGUAUAAUUCCAUAUUCUAUCAAAUUAAACUAAUUUUCUCAUGUUUUCUCUUUAUUUCAGUUUUUAUCACGCAAUGAGUCUUCCAGCACUGAAAUUUCGUGUAAACUGCAAUCCAUGGCUGUUGAUCAUGAACAGAACACUUCCUCUUCUCAGCCUGCUGAAAGUAUUAUUCUUCAGAAUAUGUCUCAUAGAAGUUCCAUUAGUGAUUCUUCAUGCAACCACCCUACAUUGUCAGCUAUUUUAGCAAUGGAUUCUGUAGCA
Molecule: unclassified non-coding RNA, 317 nt
Filed under: Hevea brasiliensis (rubber tree)
Lineage: Eukaryota; Viridiplantae; Streptophyta; Magnoliopsida; Malpighiales; Euphorbiaceae
Source: RNAcentral